UCUGUAGGCCAUACCACCCUGAACACACCCCAUCUGGUCUGAUCUCGGAAGCUAAGCAGGGUUGGGCCUGGUUGGCACUUGGAUGGGAGAUCUAUAGGCUUCUGGGUUAGGCACUAGAA
RNAcentral lists this ribosomal RNA (119 nucleotides) under Octodon degus (degu). The record is from RNAcentral. Lineage: Eukaryota; Metazoa; Chordata; Mammalia; Rodentia; Octodontidae.